Long non-coding RNA from Acipenser ruthenus (sterlet), 375 nucleotides. RefSeq lists it as uncharacterized. NCBI's taxonomy places the organism in Eukaryota, Metazoa, Chordata, Actinopteri, Acipenseriformes, Acipenseridae. The transcript has 4 exons. The record is from RefSeq and is a predicted model, not a curated record.
GAACUGCAACCGCUUGAUGGCGCACAACUAUAAAUGAAAGCUCGCGAGGAAGCGUUUCUCUAUCCGGGUUAGCGGAACUGAACCCGGUCUCUCUUCCGGUCUACGCAGUUGUUGUGAGCGGUUGAGGAGAUCCUUCUGUAUAACUAUGAGGGCUAAGUGGCGGAAGAAGCGCAUGCGCAGGCUGAAGCGCAAGAGGAGAAAGAUGAGGCAGAGGUCCAAGUAAACCUGCUGCACUGCACCCGCUGCUCCAGAUGAAAGACCUGAACUGUCCAAUGGAGUGAGCCCAGGAGACCACCAGUUUGCAAGAAGUCUUGGUCCUUGACCUUCUGCAGUUCGUCUUGCACUUUGUAGUACCCCUCCCCUUUUUUUUUUUUU